GGACGCGAGUUCUAUCGGGUAAAG
Molecule: small nuclear RNA, 24 nt
Filed under: Arabidopsis thaliana (thale cress)
Lineage: Eukaryota; Viridiplantae; Streptophyta; Magnoliopsida; Brassicales; Brassicaceae
Description: snRNA_02743
Source: RNAcentral